Non-coding RNA from Lentinula guzmanii, 80 nucleotides. Lineage: Eukaryota; Fungi; Basidiomycota; Agaricomycetes; Agaricales; Omphalotaceae. The record is from the annotation of a GenBank genome assembly.
GCAACAGUGGUCUAACGGUUAUGAUCCGGUCUUCCCAUUUGUGCGUGGCCGGGAAAGGGGUUCGACUCCCCUCUGUUGCA